This 465-nucleotide ribosomal RNA is filed under the name Vreelandella stevensii. Its description in RNAcentral is "partial 16S ribosomal RNA". It matches the Rfam family "Bacterial small subunit ribosomal RNA", at positions 338 to 795 of the family's 1533-position model. Lineage: Bacteria; Pseudomonadati; Pseudomonadota; Gammaproteobacteria; Oceanospirillales; Halomonadaceae. The record is from RNAcentral.
CCUACGGGGGGCUGCAGUGGGGAAUAUUGGACAAUGGGGGGAACCCUGAUCCAGCCAUGCCGCGUGUGUGAAGAAGGCCCUCGGGUUGUAAAGCACUUUCAGUGAGGAAGAACGCCUGGUGGUUAAUACCCAUCAGGAAAGACAUCACUCACAGAAGAAGCACCGGCUAACUCCGUGCCAGCAGCCGCGGUAAUACGGAGGGUGCGAGCGUUAAUCGGAAUUACUGGGCGUGAAGCGCGCGUAGGUGGCUUGAUAAGCCGGUUGUGAAAGCCCCGGGCUCAACCUGGGAACGGCAUCCGGAACUGUCAAGCUAGAGUGCAGGAGAGGAAGGUAGAAUUCCCGGUGUAGCGGUGAAAUGCGUAGAGAUCGGGAGGAAUACCAGUGGCGAAGGCGGCCUUCUGGACUGACACUGACACUGAGGUGCGAAAGCGUGGGUAGCAAACAGGAUUAGAUACCCUUGUAGUC